CCUACGUGCGGCAGCAGUGAGGAAUAUUGGUCAAUGGGCGCGCGCCUGAACCAGCCAAGUAGCGUGAAGGAUGACUGCCCUACGGGUUGUAAACUUCUUUUAUAAAGGAAUAAAGUGAGGCACGUGUGCCUUUUUGUAUGUACUUUAUGAAUAAGGAUCGGCUAACUCCGUGCCAGCAGCCGCGGUAAUACGGAGGAUCCGAGCGUUAUCCGGAUUUAUUGGGUUUAAAGGGAGCGUAGAUGGGUUGUUAAGUCAGUUGUGAAAGUUUGCGGCUCAACCGUAAAAUUGCAAUUGAUACUGGCAGUCUUGAGUACAGUUGAGGUAGGCGGAAUUCGUGGUGUAGCGGUGAAAUGCUUAGAUAUCACGAAGAACUCCGAUUGCGAAGGCAGCUUACUAAACUGCCACUGACAUUGAUGCUCGAAAGUGUGGGUAUCAAACAGGAUUAGAUACCCCAGUAGUC
Molecule: ribosomal RNA, 460 nt
Filed under: uncultured bacterium
Lineage: Bacteria
Description: partial 16S ribosomal RNA
Rfam family: Bacterial small subunit ribosomal RNA
Source: RNAcentral